CACUACAACAUGAGGAACUGUAUUAAAGGGUCGCAGCAUUAGGAAGGUGUAGAACUACUGCUCUAACCACUGAGGAAACUGG
Molecule: long non-coding RNA, 82 nt
Organism: Myotis davidii
Lineage: Eukaryota; Metazoa; Chordata; Mammalia; Chiroptera; Vespertilionidae
Exons: 3
Source: RefSeq, a predicted model, not a curated record